UAGCGUAGGGGGCGAGCGUUGCCCGGAUUCAUUGGGCGUAAAGGGCGCGUAGGCGGUCACGGUGCGUCCCGCGUGAAAUCUCCCGGCGUCACCUGGGAGGGGUCGCGGGAAACGACCGGGACUGGGAGCACGGUAGGGGGCCCAUGGGAAUUCCCGGUGUAGUGGUGGAAUGCGUAGAGAGUCGGGAGGAACACCCGUGGCGAAGGCGGUGGCCUGGACCGAUGCUGACGCUGAGGCGCGAAAGCGUGGGGAGCAAACAGG
This 261-nucleotide ribosomal RNA is filed under the name uncultured bacterium. Its description in RNAcentral is "partial 16S ribosomal RNA". It matches the Rfam family "Bacterial small subunit ribosomal RNA", at positions 523 to 776 of the family's 1533-position model. The record is from RNAcentral.